RNAcentral lists this ribosomal RNA (119 nucleotides) under Pteropus vampyrus (large flying fox). Lineage: Eukaryota; Metazoa; Chordata; Mammalia; Chiroptera; Pteropodidae. The record is from RNAcentral.
AUCUACAGCCAUGCCACUCUGAAUGCACCCCAUCUCGUCUGAUCUCAGAGGCUAAGCAGGGUCGCGUCUGGUUAGUACUUGGAUGGGAGACCACCUAGGAAGACCAGGUGCUGUAGGCA